AUUGAACGCUGGCGGCAGGCCUAACACAUGCAAGUCGAACGAGUGGCGGACGGGUGAGUAAUGUCUGGGAAACUGCCUGAUGGAGGGGGAUAACUACUGGAAACGGUAGCUAAUACCGCAUACCAUCGGAUGUGCCCAGAUGGGCUUAGCUAGUAGGUGGGGUAAAGGCUCACCUAGGCGACGAUCCCUAGCUGGUCUGAGAGGAUGACCCGCAACACUGGAACUUGGACACGGUCCAGACGCCUAAGGGAGGCAGCAGUGGGGAAUAUUGCACAAGGGGCGCAAGCCUGAUGCAGCCAUGCGGCGUGUGUGAAGAAGGCCUUCGGGUUGUAAAGCACUUUAAGCGAGGAGGCGUUACUCGCAGAAGAAGCACCGGCUAACUCCGUGCCAGCAGCCGCGGUAAUUC
This 406-nucleotide ribosomal RNA is filed under the name uncultured bacterium. RNAcentral describes it as "partial 16S ribosomal RNA". It matches the Rfam family "Bacterial small subunit ribosomal RNA", at positions 30 to 526 of the family's 1533-position model. The record is from RNAcentral.